RNAcentral lists this long non-coding RNA (1741 nucleotides) under Lactuca sativa (garden lettuce). Its description in RNAcentral is "long non-coding RNA (LSAT_LNC008227)". The record is from RNAcentral. Lineage: Eukaryota; Viridiplantae; Streptophyta; Magnoliopsida; Asterales; Asteraceae.
GAACCAUAUCCAAUAAGGUUCGAUUACGCCUUUCUGCCACACCAUUCAACUGCGGUGUCCUAGGAGGCGUCAAUUGCGAAACUAUUCCACACUCCUUGAGAUAAUCGUGGAAUUCAAGACUUAGGUACUCUCCUCCUCGAUCGGAUCGAAGCAUCUUGAUUUUCCUGCCCAAUUGAUUCUCCACUUCAUUCNGGUUCAACCGGAGUUUCCUCCUCGGGUUGAGUGCCAGCGGUAGAGGUUCCUUCAUCUAUCGACUCUUGAAUCUCUUCAAGUUCGAUUUGCCUCCCACUGUCUCCUUGGCUUAUGAGUUCUCGCUCUCGGAAAACUCCUCUCCUCGCAACGAAGACAACAUUGUCCUUCGGUCUAUAGAAGAGAUAUCCAAAGGAUGUCUGCGGGUAGCCGAUGAAAAUACAUCGCUCACUUCGAGGUUCAAGCUUGUCGUGAGUAUCUCGUCUUACGAAAGCCUCGCAACCCCAAACCUUGAUAUGUGCUAACGAGGGAGCUUUCCCUGUCCACAUCUCGUGAGGUGUUUUGGCAACCUUCUUAGUAGGGACUCGGUUAAGGAUAUGGGCGGCAGUCUCUAAGGCAUACCCCCAAAAAGAGAUAGGUAGUGAAGCACGACUCAUCAUAGAGCGAACCAUGUCUAACAAGGUUCGAUUACGCCUUUCUGCCACACCAUUCAACUGCGGUGUCCUAGGUGGCGUCAAUUGUGAAACUAUUCCACACUCCUUGAGAUAGUCGUGGAAUUCAAGACUUAGGUACUCUCCUCCUCGAUCGGAUCGAAGCAUCUUGAUUUUCCUGCCCAAUUGAUUCUCCACUUCAUUCUUGAACUCUUUGAACUUUUCAAACGUUUCUGACUUUUGCUUGAUUAAGUAGAUAUACCCAUAUCUACUAUAUUCAUCGGUAAAAGUCACAUAGAAGCGGUUUCCAUCCUUCGUGGUUGAUCUAAAUGGUCCACAUACAUCUGUAUGUAUGAGGUCCAAUAGACCCUCACCCCUUUCACACGUACUAGUGAAGGGUGACUUAGUCAUCUUUCGAAGCAAACAAGACUCGCAUGUGUCAUCUUCCCGAAGGUCAAAUGACUCCAACACUCCAUCCUUUUGGAGUUGGGCUAUGCGCUUCUUGUUGACGUGUCCAAGACGACAAUGCCACAAGGAUGCUCUAUCCAUACCAUUGGAAGGAUCCAUGCAUAAAACAUCAUUUCCUAAGUUAUCUACAAUCAUAACAGUUUCAUAAAUUCCAUUACACGGUAUUGCUUCAAAAUAUAAGACACCAUUUAGAUAAGUAAGAAUAGAACCAUUCUCAUUAUUAAAAGAAAAUCUAAAACCUUGUCUAAACAAACCAUGAAAUGAAAUGAUGUUUCUUGCCAUUUCUGGCGAAUAGAAACAAUUGUUCAAAUCUAAACAUAAACCAUUCCUAAGCACUAAAGAAUACACUCCAAUCUUGGUCACAGGCGACGAUCUUCUGUUCCCCAUGAUUAGAUUUAUUCUUCCAUGCUCCACAUCCCUAUUUCUUCUUAGUCCCUGCAAUUCAGAACAAAUAUGGUAACCACAACCGGUAUCAAGGACCCAAGAAAUAGCAUGAGAUGAAUCAUUAGAUUUAAUUGUGUAUAUACCUGUGAAAGAUGGCUUGAUCUUUCCUUCCUUGAUAGCUUGCAGGUAUUCUGGGCAGCUUCUCUUCCAAUGUCCUAUUUUAUGGCAGUGGUGGCACUUUGCCUCCUUUGGGUUAUGACAGGGUUUAG